UACGUAGGGUCCGAGCGUUGUCCGGAAUUAUUGGGCGUAAAGAGCUCGUAGGCGGUAUGUCGCGUCUGCUGUGAAAGACCGGGGCUUAACUUCGGUUUUGCAGUGGAUACGGGCAUGCUUGAGGUAGGUAGGGGAGACUGGAAUUCCUGGUGUAGCGGUGAAAUGCGCAGACAUCAGGAGGAACACCGGUGGCGAAGGCGGGUCUCUGGGCAGUAACUGACGCUGAGGAGCGAAAGCAUGGGUAGCGAACAGGAUUAGAUACCCUGGUA
Molecule: ribosomal RNA, 269 nt
Filed under: uncultured prokaryote
Description: partial 16S ribosomal RNA
Rfam family: Bacterial small subunit ribosomal RNA
Source: RNAcentral